GCUGGGCAUGGUGGCGGGUGCCUGUAGUCCCAGCUACUCAGGAGGCUGAGGCAGGAGAAUCGCUUGAACCCAGGAGAUAGAAGUUGCAGUGAGAUGAGAUUGUGCCACUGCACUCCAGCCUGGGUGACAGAGUGAGACUCUGUCUCAA
This is an unclassified non-coding RNA of Pongo abelii (Sumatran orangutan), 148 nucleotides long. It matches the Rfam family "Metazoan signal recognition particle RNA". From Rfam's summary of the family: The signal recognition particle (SRP) is a universally conserved ribonucleoprotein. The record is from Ensembl. Lineage: Eukaryota; Metazoa; Chordata; Mammalia; Primates; Hominidae.